Long non-coding RNA from Sarcophilus harrisii (Tasmanian devil), 2558 nucleotides. RefSeq lists it as uncharacterized. The transcript is spliced from 2 exons. Lineage: Eukaryota; Metazoa; Chordata; Mammalia; Dasyuromorphia; Dasyuridae. The record is from RefSeq and is a predicted model, not a curated record.
GGAAGGGGCUGGGCUGGGCAGGACUUUAGAAGCCAAACAGAACCCAACAUCUGCUCCUGGAAGUGGCGAGGAGGCGGAUGGAGGGGGGCUGGAGGAUGGCGGGCCUGUGAGGUUUGGAGAAGGGGAUGGAACCAGCCAAGUCUGGGCCAGGCGAGUUUUCAGACAGCUACCGAGAGGUUCAGUGGGCAUCUGGAGAGUGGAACCUGAGGGCUGCAAAGAUCAUUUGUACAAAGAUGGCCACUGGGUUCUCAGAAACUAGGGACAACCGGAUGAAAUGACAGACGGACAAGAGUCCUAGAACUGAGCCCGGUGGGACUUGGAAGAAAGUGAGAACUACCAGAAGAGCCAAAGGGACCAAGAGAAGAAAAAGGAAUAUCAUGGGAAAGAGAACAAAAGCCAGGGAGGGAUGCAAAGGAAAGGGAGAUGAAGCCAUAGUUAUCAGGGAUAACGAGAACAAGUGAAGGUUUUUCUAAGGCUGGCAGAGCCAUGGGCAUCGGCACCAGGAAAGCAGCCCAGAGGGGAGAAAGUCUGAUGGAGAAGGUGGGACGCAGGGUGAAUUCACCUGUACUGGGAGGGGGCUCUGGCAAGGAAGAGGACCACCCCUUCCUGGGGGGGCAGCCAGGAAGGGAACAGAGGGCGCUUUUUCCAAGGGGUUGUUGGGGGUGGCUGUAGGGGAGAAGUCUUCAGGAGUAGGACGAGGCCCAUGUGUAAAAGGGCUGCCUUGCCGCAGUGCCAGCGUCAGUCCCUUCCCCUUCUCUGUGUGUGGGUGGUGGGCUCGGCAGCGAAGGGCAAGGACUCGCGGGGAUAGACAGCUGGUGGAGAGGUCACGAUGGGAGAAGCGUGAGCGCGCCCCCGAGCUCCCAGCCACACGAGACCCAAGGCAACGCGGAGGGACCCGCUCCGGCAGGAGCUGGUGGGCUCUGAAUGGAAAUUGAAGAACACCGUUUCUUGGCUUUGUUCUGUACGAGCACACAGUGGAGAAACUUGAGGUCACAAUGAAGGCAGCAGAGCUGAGAUAAGGGCAAAGGAAAGAAGAUGGGCGUGAUGGAAGACCGAUGGGUGACCGCGGGAGUGGAAUGUUUUGAGGUGAUGGCGAGAUUGGGGCUAUGGCUGUGGACAUGGAUGUGUGGGCUGAAGGAGGAGGUCAUGGGGAAUGAGAAAAUUGAGGAACUGAAAGGCAGGACAUUUGAGGGGAGGUCAGUAUGUCCAAGUCCCCUGGAGCCAGGAGAGAAAGACUGAGCUGAGAGGGAAGGACUGGGACCCAGCUCCAAGGUUCUGGACCAGUGCGGUGGUAGGGGAGUCUGCGCCCGAGUGCCAGCCCACCUAGCACAGAAAGGGAGGCCUUGUCGCUGCCAGUGACUUCAUUCUCCCCAUGAGAUUUUGGGCAGUCCUGUCCUGUUUUGGAGUGUUCCUCAAUCUUAUGUGACGCCCCCAUCACUGUGGCUCACAGUGCUGCAUUUUUAUGAAGCUUCCUGUGAGAGCAGCCUGUUCGGGUCCAGUCCAAAAGCACAGCGUGAGAACAGCCUCUGAAGGCAGGAGGCAGCGGGCUGGGAUUUGCAGAGAAAUGGCGAGCCGCGGCUCCUAGGACGGCUCCCGUUCUGGACCCUUUUCUCCAUCUGCUGAAGCUCUCUGCGUUAGCCCAACGAAGGCCUUUCCGAACACAGCCCAAGCAAUCAUUAGGAGUCACCUGGAGCCGGCACCAAGACCAGAAAAUCAGGAAUGACAAGGAGCGAUUUCAAGUUGGGACGAGGGGAGCGAAGGUGAGCUUUGAGGCAAAGGGGGCAGUCGGAGCCUGAUCCCCUGGUGGUGUGAGAGCACAUCUUCCUAUUAUUUUUGAUACUUGGUGAAAAGCUUUUCUUCUUCCUCUUUCAAACAAACAUGGACCUGAGCUUGGCGGGUAGACUAAGGCUGGACAAAUACAUGAGAAAAAAAACAAAGUGCCCUUUCUCUAGUCUUCUGCCUUUUCUUCUUGCUCCCAAUUAGAGGGUGGGCCGGGACAGGCGCAGGUCCUCCCCUCGACAUCAGUUUUUAUCCGAGCCCCUCUCUGCUCUCGGGCAGAAUGGGAUGGCGUGUAAAAGGGAUGAGAACCCUGGCCCUGCCUACCUUGGACACUGCCCCCAGCGAGAGGGGGCGGCCCAGCCCUUCUGAAGCAGCAGGGCCCAAGUUCAAAGAGUUCUUGGCAUGGUUUUACCACAGUCUCGUUGUGGAUGGCACAAAGGGGAGGGGGCCUCAUACCCUGACCCUGCUGCUAAUUUGCCCUGUGACCAGUCACAUCUCGGUUUCCUAGACAAGAUGGCCUCCGCAGCUGCUUCUGUUUUAAGAGUUUUCCCUCCUUGCACUUUAUCCACCAUGGAACUCUGGACACCACCAUUCUCUGGUACCAACUGGGCAUCUCCCCCCCAGCUUCCCACCCAGGGAUGCCCGAGCAAGAAAAGGCCUCAACUUCUUUUUCAUUUUUGUUUAUUUUUUUUAAAAAAGCCCCUAAAUUCUAUGGCUUCCAGGAAGCAUCAGAGAAAUGUAAAUGCCAUUUCUGUACACUUUGUAAAGCAGUAACUAAA